ACACAGGUAGACACACCUCCAUCAGGAAUUUGACACUUAAUUUUUUUUAUUUUUUAUUUUACCUUUAUUUAACCAGGCAAGUAAUUUAAGAACACAUUCUUAUUUUCAAUGACGGCCUAGGAACAGUGGGUUAACUGCCUGUUCAGGGGCAGAAUGACAGAUUUGUACAUUGUCAGCUCGGGGGUUUGAACUCGCAACCUUCCGGUUACUAGUCCAAAGCUCUAACCACUAGGCUACCCUGCCGCCCUGUACAACUUGCUGAAUGAUGAUUCUAUAGGUUCUAUAUGUCAGAGUCUACAGUUCAAAUUAAAGUUUAUUUGUCACGUAUACAACAGGUGUAGUAGACCUUACAGUGAAAUGCUGAAUACAACAGGUGUAGUAGACCUUACAGUGAAAUGCUGAAUACAACAGGUGUAGUAGACCUUACAGUGAAAUGCUGAAUACAACAGGUGUAGUAGACCUAACAGUGAAAUGCUGAAUACAACAGGUGUAGUAGACCUUACAGUGAAAUGCUGAAUACAACAGGUGUAGUAGACCUUACAGUGAAAUGCUGAAUACAACAGGUGUAGUAGACCUUACAGUGAAAUGCUGAAUACAACAGGUGUAGUAGACCUUACAGUGAAAUGCUGAAUACAACAGGUGUAGUAGACCUUACAGUGAAAUGCUGAAUACAACAGGUGUAGUAGACCUUAUAGUGAAAUGCUGAAUACAACAGGUGUAGUAGACCUUACAGUGAAAUGCUGAAUACAACAGGUGUAGUAGACCUUACAGUGAAA
Oncorhynchus keta (chum salmon) is the source of this 776-nucleotide long non-coding RNA. RefSeq lists it as uncharacterized. The record is from RefSeq and is a predicted model, not a curated record. Lineage: Eukaryota; Metazoa; Chordata; Actinopteri; Salmoniformes; Salmonidae. The transcript has 3 exons.